UACAGAGGGUGCAAGCGUUAAUCGGAUUUACUGGGCGUAAAGCGUGCGUAGGCGGUUCAUUAAGUCGAUUGUGAAAUCCCUGGGCUUAACCUGGGAACUGCAGUCGAUACUGGUGGACUAGAAUGCGGUAGAGGGUGGCGGAACUCCGGGUGUAGCGGUGAAAUGCGUAGAUAUCCGGAAGAACACCGAUGGCGAAGGCGGCCUGCUGGGCAGUAGCUGACGCUGAGGCGCGACAGCGUGGGGAGCAAACAGG
Molecule: ribosomal RNA, 253 nt
Filed under: uncultured bacterium
Lineage: Bacteria
Description: partial 16S ribosomal RNA
Rfam family: Bacterial small subunit ribosomal RNA
Source: RNAcentral